This 332-nucleotide ribosomal RNA is filed under the name Megalobulimus separabilis. Its description in RNAcentral is "partial 16S ribosomal RNA". The record is from RNAcentral. Lineage: Eukaryota; Metazoa; Mollusca; Gastropoda; Stylommatophora; Megalobulimidae.
GACUGUGCUAAGGUAGCAUAAUAAAUUGGCUUUUAAUUGGAGUCUAGGAUAAACGGGCUUACGGAUAGAUUCUGUCUUAUAAAGACUUUAAUGAACUUUCUUAAAGGGUGAAAAUUCCCUUACACGAUAUGAAAGACGAGAAGACCCUUAGAGUUUUCAAGAACAAGUGUUAAAAUAUUCACUUUCACUUUUUGUUGGGGCGACAUAUAAGCAUAAUUGUAAACCUUCUAUUAUGAAAUUUGUACAAGUGAAUAAUUAUAAAAGAUAAAACUACCUUAGGGAUAACAGCAUAAUUUAAUUCUUAAGAUUGUGACCUCGAUGUUGGACUAGGA